AGUCGUGUUGCUUGAUAGUGCAGCACUAAGUGGGUGGUAAACUCCAUCUAAAACUAAAUAUAACCAUGAGACCGAUAGUAAACAAGUACCGUGAGGGAAAGUUGAAAAGAACUCUGAAUAGAGAGUUAAAAAGUACGUGAAACUGCUUAGAGGUUAAGCCCGAUGAACCUGAAUAUCCAUUAUGGAAAAUUCAUCGUUACGAUUUCUAUAUGUAUAAUAUAGUGAUUAUGGCGUGCAUUUUUUCUAUAUAAGGACAUUGUAAUCUAUUAACAUACACAAUUUAUCAUAAGAUCGUUGGCGAAAGUUUAUUCAAAUUAGUAUGCUUGCGUAUUAAUAUGGAAUAAGUGCUGUCGAUUGGAUAAAGUGUUGAUAGAUCUAUUAUAUAUAGCGCUUGAAUACUUAUAUUCUAUAAUGGCACAUUAAUCUUGAUUUUUGUGUUUAUUAUAUGCGCUUAUAUGAUUUACAAUGCGAAAGAUUCAGGAUACCUUCGGGACCCGUCUUGAAACACGGACCAAGGAGUCUAACAUAUUUGCAAGUUAUUGGGAAUUUAAACCUAAUAGCGAAAUUAACAUAACUUUAAUGGGAUUAGUUUUUAGUCUAUUUAUAGUCUAUUAAUUCA
RNAcentral lists this ribosomal RNA (619 nucleotides) under Atherigona orientalis (pepper fruit fly). Its description in RNAcentral is "eukaryotic LSU rRNA". It matches the Rfam family "Eukaryotic large subunit ribosomal RNA", at positions 263 to 768 of the family's 3401-position model. Lineage: Eukaryota; Metazoa; Arthropoda; Insecta; Diptera; Muscidae. The record is from RNAcentral.